UUUUAGGAGUAUGAAUUAGAUGGAAUUGAUUGGACAAAAGUAGAUUUUGAAGACAACCAAGAGUGUUUGGAUCUCUUUGAGAAGUGCACAUCAUCCAAUAGUGAUUUCCCUAUAAGCCAUGCUAGUCAACUUUCAAAUCCGUUCCUUAGUUUGCCGCUUGAAUUUGGAAAAUGUGAAUCAUGUGGUGCUGCGGAACCCGGGACAUGCGAAGGUAUUUUUCAUGUUUUAAUCCUUUUUAUUUUCUGAUUACACUGAGAAGUUUGAAUGGUCAUGACCGCUGGACACAUUGAAGUAUUGCUAAAGUUUUGUUCAUUUUUUUACCUUUCAAGUCACUUUGGGUAUAUAGAAUUACCAAUUCCAGUAUAUCAUCCUUCCCAUGCGAGCGAACUAAAGCGGUUGUUGAGCCUGGUUUGCUUUAAGUGCUUGAAGUUGAGAAGUGGGAAGUUUAUGCAGAUGGAAGUAUUUGUCUGGAUAUUCUACAAAAUCAGUGGAGUCCAAUAUAUGAUAUAGCUGCUAUACUGACAUCUACCCAGUCAUUGCUCUGUGAUCCAAACCCAAACCCAAACCCAAGCCCAAAUGCAGGUUUUCCCUUUUUCUCAUUUCAGUCAAUGCUCUGUGAUCCAAAUGCAAACUCGCCUGCAAAUUCAGAAGCAGCAUUGUUGUUUAGUGAGAACAAGCGUGAAUACAACCGGAGGGUGCGUGAAAUUGUUGAGCAGAGCUGGACAGAAGACUAAAUCUCUCUUGCUUUGGGUGCUAUAGGACGUAAUUAAGCUGCUUCAAAUCACUAAUCUUCCUCGUUGUAGGUGGCUGGUCUGAUUUUCUCUGGUGUUUGUGUAUCAUUGCUGUAUUAAUUACAAAUGUAAUAG
Camellia sinensis is the source of this 866-nucleotide non-coding RNA. The record is from RefSeq and is a predicted model, not a curated record. Lineage: Eukaryota; Viridiplantae; Streptophyta; Magnoliopsida; Ericales; Theaceae.